This 521-nucleotide ribosomal RNA is filed under the name uncultured bacterium. RNAcentral describes it as "bacterial SSU rRNA". It matches the Rfam family "Bacterial small subunit ribosomal RNA", at positions 26 to 518 of the family's 1533-position model. The record is from RNAcentral.
AGGACGAACGCUGGCGGCGUGCCUAAUACAUGCAAGUCGAACGGUCUUUCUAUGGAAGCUUGCUUCCACUGAGAAGAUAGUGGCGAACGGGUGAGUAACACGUGGGUAACCUGCCCAUAAGAGGGGGGAUAACAUCCGGAAACGGGUGCUAAUACCGCAUAGUUUUCUUGGUCGCAUGAUCGGGAAAGGAAAGACGGCCUUUGUGCUGUCGCUUAUGGAUGGACCCGCGGCGUAUUAGUUAGUUGGUGAGGUAACGGCUCACCAAGACGAUGAUACGUAGCCGACCUGAGAGGGUGAUCGGCCACAUUGGGACUGAGACACGGCCCAAACUCCUACGGGAGGCAGCAGUAGGGAAUCUUCCGCAAUGGACGAAAGUCUGACGGAGCAACGCCGCGUGAGUGAAGAAAAGGUUUUCGGAUCGUAAAACUCUGUUGUCAGAGAAGAACAAGUUGGAGAGUAACUGCUCCAGCCUUGACGGUAUCUGACCAGAAAGCCACGGCUAACUACGUGCCAGCCGCAGC